GGACAUGUAAAUUUCAUUUCAUUCCUGUGCUGAAGUUCAAAUUCUUAUUCUACUUAAUAUGUGAUUUGGCAAAAUUAGUUAAGUUGGUUUUUACUAAAAACAAAAAAUAAUCCGUUUCAGGUGCACUUUUGAAAAUGAUAAUACCAAAUUAGCAAAAACGCCAACAUAUAAAUUAAAAAAUAUGUUAUUCACAACAUUAAAUUGAAAAUUUACGAAUAAAAGAAGAAUGCCUGCUCGACUUUAAAGCUUUAAACACCGUAAACUACCACGAAUAGCAAAAUUGAUACUCUUAUGCUUGAUAAAGUACCUCUAUGUAGAAAGUCUCCAAAACAAAGUAACUGUAUAAUGAAAAUGUGAAACUUGGACAUUAAUAAUUGGAAGCUAAAAUAUUUUAAUAUUUAUGCUUUGUAUUCUCUAAGUAUUCGUUUUUAGGAAGUCUCCAAAAAAAUGAAUUCACUUUGUGAAUGACACUCAUGAAUGAAAGUUAAUAUACAAAUUUAACUUACAUCAAAUAAAAUACCACUUUCUGGAAAGUCUCCAAAACAAAGUAAGUUCGCUUUGUGAAUGACAUUUAUAAAGGAAGUUUUACGAAGGCAAGCAUAAGAGAUUUCUAAAUAAUUCCAGAAAACAAAAUAUCUGACCAAGAUGUUCAUUCUUCUUCUGAACUUUAGUCUGUUACGGGUAUUAUGCUUAGUUACGAAGCAACGUUUUUGCAGAAAAAAAAAAAUAAUUUGGUGAAAAAGUGCAGAGAUGGAAGUGCAGUGAAAUUUUCUUAAAAAAUUAUACCCGUAACUUAAUAUUAAUAUCUGUUUAAACUC
Long non-coding RNA from Teleopsis dalmanni, 818 nucleotides. RefSeq lists it as uncharacterized. Lineage: Eukaryota; Metazoa; Arthropoda; Insecta; Diptera; Diopsidae. The record is from RefSeq and is a predicted model, not a curated record. The transcript has 6 exons.